This 1060-nucleotide ribosomal RNA is filed under the name Chromelosporium macrospermum. RNAcentral describes it as "partial large subunit ribosomal RNA". It matches the Rfam family "Eukaryotic large subunit ribosomal RNA", at positions 76 to 1153 of the family's 3401-position model. The record is from RNAcentral. Lineage: Eukaryota; Fungi; Ascomycota; Pezizomycetes; Pezizales; Pezizaceae.
UGCCUUAGUAACGGCGAGUGAAGCGGCAAAAGCUCAGAUUUGAAAUCUGGCGUCAUUUUGGCGUCCGAGUUGUAAUCUGUAGAGGUGUAUUCGAGUGUGGCUUUGGCUUAAGUUCCUUGGAACAGGACGUCAUAGAGGGUGAGAACCCCGUUAACGGCCUUUGUCUUAUGCUCAUGUGAAUCUCCUUCAACGAGUCGAGUUGUUUGGGAAUGCAGCUCUAAAUGGGUGGUAAAUUCCAUCUAAAGCUAAAUACUGGCAAGAGACCGAUAGCGCACAAGUAGAGUGAUCGAAAGAUGAAAAGAACUCUGAACAGAGAGUUAAAUAGUACGUGAAAUUGUUGAAAGGGAAGCACUUGCGACCAGACGCACUUGCAGCUGAUCAACUUCCAUUCUUGGAGGUGCACUCAGUUGUUUGUGGGUCAGCAUCAGUUAUGGCGGUGGGAAAAAGACCAAGGGAAUGUGGCUCCUUUCGGGGAGUGUUAUAGCCCCUGGUGAAAUGCUGCCUGCUGUGACUGAGGACCGCGCUUCGGCGAGGAUGCUGACAUAAUGGUCGUAAGUGACCCGUCUUGAAACACGGACCAAGGAGUCUAACAUCUAUGCGAGUGUUUGGGUGUUCAAACCCUUACGCGUAAUGAAAGUAAAUGGAGGUGGGAACCGUAAGGUGCACCAUCGACCGAUCCUGAUGUUCUCGGAUGGAUUUGAGUAGGAGCAUAGCUGUUGGGACCCGAAAGAUGGUGAACUAUGCCUGAAUAGGGUGAAGCCAGAGGAAACUCUGGUGGAGGCUCGCAGCGGUUCUGACGUGCAAAUCGAUCGUCAAAUUUGGGUAUAGGGGCGAAAGACUAAUCGAACCAUCUAGUAGCUGGUUCCGGCCGAAGUUUCCCUCAGGAUAGCAGUAACGAUUAAUAGUUUUAUGAGGUAAAGCGAAUGAUUAGAGGCCUUGGGGUUGGAACAACCUUAACCUAUUCUCAAACUUUAAAUAUGUAAGAAGUCCCUGUUACUUAAUUGAACGUGGACAUUGGAAUAUACGUUACUAGUGGGCCAUUUUUGGUAAGCAAAACUGG